GGAAAGUGUAUCACAUGUGGAUCGUGAGUUUGUGUCCAAUCGAUGAUUCAGAGGCCAUCACAUCACAUGCUUCUGCUCACUGGUGUAGACAAUCCUGAGACACAAGGGAGGCACGGGCAGCUGAGUGUGUGUGUGUGUACAUGCAGGCGUCACAUUGAUGCAACAUUCAACAACAGAGUGAUAGGUGUCUUUGACUCACGAGAGACAAUAACUGGAGGAGAGAAGAGGAGAGAAGUCCAGCAACAGUUCUCCUGCUAUAACAACAAAAUCAAAAAUAAAAGCAAAGAAAAUGGAGGAAAUGAAGUUCUGCUUUUUGCCAGUUGUUCACUCACUUCAGAGAUGGGCCACUUAAAGAGGCAUUCCAACAAUUUUACACAUCAAGAUGAACUGAAUUAUCAAGGAAAAGCAUGGCUCAGCGUGGGAAGAGAGGGUGUGUGUCUUUGAAGGAGCUUCAGGUGAUGUCAUCAGAGUUACUGCAGUUUGGGCGCCACAGCCUUUGAACAGAGAGCCUUACUUUACCAGACUUACAAACUGGGUGCCUGGACUACACAUGUAAUUAUGUUAAUUUAUCUUAUGUUUGAUCAUGAUGAAUCCUGUACAUGCAACCUUUGACUCAAUCAACGUUGGGCUGAUUGCCUACAUGAAGGUACUGUUGCCCACCUGGACGUCAUCAGAAGAUCCUGACCUUUGGCCUUUGAGCCUUUUGUCUUGAGAACAGACAUUCAAGAUUCUAACUGCAAGCAGCCACUUCAACCUGAGGAGGGCCGAGCAGAAAGACAGAGAACACCUUCCCAUCAGGUGCAUACUACAGACUAACAUUUGUCAUGUGGCUGAGCCUUAAAGCACUGAGUCUGAGUGGAGUUACGAUAUUGUCACGACCAGGCGGGACGGCUCUACUGAAAAGACACUUGGAGUUGUGUGUAGUAAAGAGUUUCCUAUCUAAAUGUAUGUACUCUUCUGGCUGGCCUUGAACUGUAUGUUAAUGAUUUUAUUUUGUGUAUAUGUAAUGUUUUUUAUAUUAAUGUGAAUUUAUGUCAUUUCAUGUAUAUUAAUGCAAACAAUGUUCAUCGUGUACAUGUGAAGUAUGUAAAGUGUGGGCCCAGGAGGAUUAGAUGAUUAACAUGGCAUCAGCUGAUGGGGAUCCUUUAAAUGAACAAAUAAACAAAGCUCAGGACUGAACCUGAGCCCCUCAGCAUCUAGUGACUCACUUCAAUGUCAGACUACGUCACUUUUGAAGGAAUUCAAAAAA
RNAcentral lists this long non-coding RNA (1249 nucleotides) under Sparus aurata (gilthead seabream). Its description in RNAcentral is "lncRNA (ENSSAUG00010000237.1)". Lineage: Eukaryota; Metazoa; Chordata; Actinopteri; Spariformes; Sparidae. The record is from RNAcentral.